GUAGGACUACCCGCUGAACUUAAGCAUAUCAAUAAGCGGAGGAAAAGAAACUAACAAGGAUUCCCCUAGUAACUGCGAGUGAAGCGGGAAGAGCUCAAAUUUGUAAUCUGCCUUAUGGCCGAGUUGUAAUCUGGAGAAGCGUUAUCAGGCGCCGACCGCAUUAAAGUCUCUUGGAACAGGGCGUCACAGAGGGUGAGAAUCCCGUGAGUAAUGCGGCUGCGGCGUUGUAGAGGCGCUCUCGAUGAGUCGAGUUGUUUGGGAAUGCAGCUCAAAAUGGGUGGUAAACUCCAUCUAAAGCUAAAUAUUGGCGAGAGACCGAUAGCGAACAAGUACCGUGAGGGAAAGAUGAAAAGGACUUUGGAAAGAGAGUUAAAGAGUACGUGAAAUCGCUGAAAGGGAAGCGCUUGAAGUGAGUCGCGCGGGCAGGAUUCAGCUGUGCGUAUUUCCUGCCUGUGGGCCAGCAUCGACGCUUGGCGGCGGACAAGGGCGGUGGGAAUGUGGCACCUUCGGGUGUGUUAUAGCCUGCUGUCGUACACGCUGCCUUACGUCGAGGACUGCUUAUAGGAUGCUGGCGUAAUGGCUUUAAGCGACCCGUCUUGAAACACGGACC
This 610-nucleotide ribosomal RNA is filed under the name uncultured Dacrymycetes. RNAcentral's name for it is "eukaryotic LSU rRNA". It matches the Rfam family "Eukaryotic large subunit ribosomal RNA", at positions 15 to 667 of the family's 3401-position model. Lineage: Eukaryota; Fungi; Basidiomycota; Dacrymycetes. The record is from RNAcentral.